CUACUUUGUUUCGCAGAUAGUCUUUUUCGCAGGAUUACCUGCGAAAAUUAUGCCUAUGCAUGGUCUUGUGUCUUCCAUUUAUGGUCAUUCUCGACGCAUUCUAUUGGCUAGUAAAUUUCGCAGUGAGGUUAAAAAUUCGCUCCAUAUAUGGUUAUAGAACAUACGCAAGAAAGUAAAAAACAAAACCAAAAAAAAAACAAGGCUAGCGAAGUUGUGAAGGUGAAGAAAGCAUGAUGUUCCUGUCAAACUUGGAUCUUUAUAACUUGUAUAGAGCUUCAUGAAAAUUCUCUAUACUCGAACCAUCCAAUUUUUGUAUCUGUAUGUAAAUCUUCAGAUUUGUUUUCCUGUGUAGAAAGCACUUUCAAGUUUUCAGUUAGCUAGCUAUUCAUCCUCUUCUGUAACUCUGUGUAGACAGCAGAUCUUGUCAGCUGUGAUUCAAGACCGUUUUAAAUCAGAAGAUUUUUCCUCAUCUGCCUUCAAAUAAAAAUUUACAACCAGUAUCUAUUUUAUUUUGCGAUAAUGACAAACAUUCUGGGCAAUUUAAACCUAAUCCUUUCAGUUUCUUUAAGUUUGAGUAAAGCUACGUUAAAGCGUUCUGGUCAAUAUUUUAAGCUAGGUUGUCAUAUGUUAUGACAAUAAAGCAAAAGAAAAGAAAAAGGAAACGUGUGUAUCAUCUCGAAGUUGUUCCUUUUGCAUUAACCCAACUGUUAGUUAAUUAAUGUGGUACUUCUAGCACUAAUGACGAGACUUCUUCCAUUUGUAAAAAGUAAACUUUUAACUUCAAAUCUUUUUCUUCAAAGGGAUUUCCAAAUCGAAACCUAUUAAACUUAAACAAGUUUUAUCUGCAGAGCCUUGGUAGAUUCAUUCCCUUCAGGUUUUAUUAACAGUAUUGGGAAAUAUAAUGUAGGCACUCACUACGACAAGCUCCACACCUCGGUGAUCAUGAUUAUCCUUCCCAUUGUAACUUGCGAGAGAACGUCUUAAGGUUUAUUCAUUGUAGUGAAGGCUCUCAUGUUUGUCUUUUUCAAAGGUCAUUUUAAAAACCUUAUGAACUUUCUCUUGAUAUAUAUACAGAAUUGAUAAGGUCAAUUAUGAUAAGUUAUGACGAUGCUGGCAAUGUAUCUGUUAAAAUUAAUAUUGUCAUGCUAACAUUUUAAAGCAAAACAGAUUAGCUUUAUACAUAUCCUUGUUCUUCUUAUUGCUUAAAUUUAGUUGUCUGUAAUUCAUGCUUUGUACAUUAUUUCUGAAACAUGAUAAAUUGAAUCAAACGUAACAUAUUUUUACAAAUUUUCCAAAAGUAAAUUUUUAUGCAAGAAUGUUCCUUACUUAACUAAUAAUCCAAACUAUGCCCAUAAUUUUAAUAUUUGGAACACGAUGUGUGGAAUGUAUUAUUAACACAAGGGUUUUCAAUGAUUUGUAUGAAGGCAUUUUGUCCAUGGUAUUUCAUUACAUUUUUGAAUUUUUUAUUAUAUUUAUGAAGAAAGAAGAUUUUGAUUUGGUUAUUUUUAAUGACCUCCAUUCUGCAAAAACUUUAUUUUGGUGCUAAAUAUGAAGAAAGAAUAAUGAACAUUCUAAUUAUUGCUUUAAUAAGUUUCAAUCUAUAAAAAACAUUAUGAUGGUGUUGUGUUGUCUUAUUGCUGGUUUGAUUACACCCUUGAUGAUAAAGAUUUUAAUGUAUUUUAUGUUGUCAUUUAUUCCCCUUUUUCGAUCAAUGCGAUCAAUACUUAACGUCUAUCCUGUAUGUCACAGAGUCGGUUUUAUGGCGUUUCAAUGCUUAAAGGGCGUAAAAAGGCGUUGGCUUCCAGCAGGGCUCCACCCUGGACCUGUUGGGGGCUCACAACGCCCCCCAAACCCCCAGUUGGUUAAUAUCGCACCUCCGGUGUGAUGUUGACCCUGCGGGUCAAUGGUUUGAGUAAGAUAUAUUUUUUUCUUGCUACGCCCCUGCAGCCCCAGCUAGCUAGCUAGCAAACAGAUAUACCAUCAUGACAAAAAUAAACUGAAACUCUGCUCUAAACUUUGAGAAUGAACACCAUAAUUGUUUAGAGCACGUACAAAAAACACUGUGCAAAAAGAGACAGGAAAAUAAUCAGUACUUACUCCAGAUAUUUAGCCAUUUUUGUUUUUUGUUGUACAGUAUGUCGAAGAAUUUUUUUUAAGCUAAAACAUAGAAUAAAACAGUAAAUUCUGGGAAAAAACUUUAUGAGUAUGUAAAGAAAUCAUUUUCAAAUAGAAUUCUUGGAAAUUCAACACAAAAAUAAACAAAACUGGAACUAAUUGAGUGUACACAAUCUUACGUUUCCAGAGAACGUGAAAUCUUACCUUUUCACGUCUUCGCCGAACUUCUUUGAAAAAGUUUGGUCAUACCCCUUGACAUAAGCAUGCGCACUACGAAAUUUUCUGGUGUUUACGUCGCCGUUUGCGUUCCCGUCUUUGUAUCGUAAGCUCUCUAUUAACCGUCCCGGUAUUUCUACCCCUAAAGUCCAAUAUCAACAUUUAGCUAGAACAAUAGCUAGUUAUUGCAUUUCUUUAUUGUAUUAAAUUUCACCAUUUAGUGUGAACCCCCGGUCUUACGACGAUACAGUUCGCUCCGUCAAGGAAAUCGACUUCUUUCUGUUUCGCCACAUUCGAAAUGUUUGAAAUGAAUUGAAAGAAGGAAAAAUAUUAUAUUUUUGUCUUCAUUCAAAUCAGUUUUCAAAACACAGAGCGUCUACGCUAUUCAGCACAGAAUUCCCAUUUCAUUCGCUGCCGGUUAGCCGGUUGUUCUCUUCGUUUACUGAGUAAAAAAGCCUGUGGUUUAAAAAUAACAACAAUGAAUGGAAACCAGGUCACCCAUUUUGUAGCGAGAUGUCGGAAACACACAUUCGAUACCCAUUUCAUUAACAAGCAUCCAAGAAGGUUUUUUAAAACAGUUUUAGUUAAAUGGCGUCUUCUGAUGAUGAAGAUUUGAGGCCAUUUCAAAGGUUUGUUUUAAUUUUUACCGCUUCUUUUAUCAAAGUUUCAUUUUCUUUCUGUCUUAUUCUUUCAUUCGUGACUUUAACUCGGAAAAACUUUCGGCAGAAUUUUUUUCAACCUCAAAUGUUCUAAUUUGUUUUUUCCACAAAAAAGGCGAAUUUAUGGUCAGAUUUAUGGAUAAUGAUGAAUACAGGAUUGGCAGAAGUAUGUCGAAGUUAUUUAAUUGUAAAAAAUUAUGUCUGGUACACUUUUUUUAUAAGAACAAUGAGGCCGAGAUUUGCUGAAAAAUAAGAACAAAAUAAGAACAAUGACAAGGCUGAAAUUAUACUGAUAUUCUAUUUUUCCCUGAAAAUCAGAAAACAUGGGUAAAUCUGUCAAAAAGCAGAAAUUUUCACAAAAUUUAUUAUUGUGACUAUGCGAAACUUUUACUACUCAAAAAAGUGUAGUAGCUAAAAAGAAAAAAUAACUGUUCCAAAAAUAGUAGUAGUUAUAGAAAUUCUAUACUCGCAUUACACUUUCUUUUUUUAUAAGAACCAGGAAAUUUGGCUUCAGCCUGAAGUGUUUUUAUUUUUUUCAGUUAUUCAGCCUUGCUAUAAUCUUAUUUUUCAGCAAUUCUCAGUCUCAUUGUUCUUAUAAAAUUGUUCUUAUAAUUUUAAAGGAAAUUCAGGUUGAGUACGUUCUUAAUAUGAUUGUAACUUUUUGCAGAAUCGCAGCCUCGACGUUCUUAUAAACUAUAGUUCAGAGAGUUACCUCCUUUGUUGACUAGCAGAGUCUUGUCAAUUGAGGUAAAAGGUUGGUUGUAUGAGGCCUGUGUAAGAAGUGUUAUGUUGUACGGUAGUGAGACAUGGGCAGUGAAGCAGGAAGAUCUUGACCGUUUAGAAAGGAAUGAUAUGAGAAUGGUUAGGUGGAUGUGUAACGCCAGUCUGAGAGACAGAAAGAGUUCAGAUGAGCUAAGAACCAGGCUAAGUAUCCGUAGAAUUAAAGAUGUUAUCCGGAUAAGAAGAUUGAAUUUGGCUGGGGCACUUGGAAAGAAUGGAGGAGGAUAAUUGGGUAAGAAAGUGUAGAGACUUGAUAGUUCCUGGGGCAAAGCUCAGAGGCAGACCGAGAAAGACUUGGCAGGAGGUUAUAAGGACAGACUUGAUACAGAGGAAGUUGAGUUUAGAUCUAACACAGUCUAGAUCAGAUUGGAAGAGGGUCAUUAAUAUACCCCGUCCAACCCAUGCUAGCAUGGAAAACGGACGUUAAGUCGAGAAUGAUGAAUGUCACUGUAUUAAUUUUUCAGGCUUUACCUAAAAAACUUCAGUCGUUGUCUUUUACAUCUGGUGCCACAUAGCCUCACCUGCCUUAAAAUAGUUCUUCGAAAAAUCGCAUUUUUGUAGCAUUAAACAAACGGGGUGGGUGGAGACGUGUCUAUGCACAUCCAUUAAUAAGGACUACAUCAAUACAGUAGGUGCAAUUGUUGGCACGUAUCAUCAACCAAAAGCAAAUCUCUGGCCACGUUGCUAUUGCGACUAUUCCUCGUCAUUAGUGACCCUGUCAUUUCAGGCUAUUAAUCGCUGCGUUCUGGCUCCUCGAAACUUAGGAGACCGUUUAAAUUUUUUGUCGAAGAGCUAUAGUUUAUUUUUAAUUUUGCUUUUCAUCGCGGUUUUUAUAAUGUAUAUAUAUAAAAAGAUAAUAUUUUUUUGAACAAUUAUUUAUUCUUUAUUUAUAGUUUAUUUAUAUUUUCCUUACUUUCAAGGCCAUUUAUCGUUUUCUCUGCUUUUUGUCUAGUUACAAUUUAGGUUGAUUCCAUAUAUCGUUUCUUAAUUUCUCCUCGAUUCGAGCGUUUCAAUUUCUUUCAAGCCUUUUCAGUUUUUCUGAUCGCGGUUUUCUUUUUUAUUUAAUGUAUAUAAAAAAAAAUUAUUUUUUGAACACUUAUUUAUUCUUAAUCUAUAAUUUUUUUCAUUUUUAUAUUUCAUUUUAGGGAGAAGAACAAUUUUGUACAAAAUUGAACCCAAAUAAAUGUUAAUAAUAAUAAUAAUAAUAAUAAUGUACAGGAGCCAAACUUUAAAGGUAACAUUCAAUUAGUUUGAUGACUCAGUUGAAGAUACCUCUCUUCAACAAGCUCUAGCCUACCAGUAAGUAAGUAAGUAAUUUUAUAUCUAAUGAUAACAUGUUAUAAAUACAUUCAUCUAUCAUUGUACUUUUACCAUACACUAUCAAAUUUUGCAUUGUAACAGUAUGAAAAGUUUCAUAUUAUUAUCAUUAGGUACCAAGAAGGAAGACAAUAGGAAAAAUAACAAAAGCUAGUAAAGAAAACCACUGUCACUCGAGAAAAGUGUUGUCAGGUCAGCAUUGUCAAAUACAUACUGAAAUGUACUGGAAGCAUCAAGAGGACAGGGGAGAAAAUAAAGCACAGAGACAGCACUAAAAACAUGUCAAUAAACAAUAUACAAUACACACACUUCACAAACACAAAGACUAGCCUUGAUGAUUUACUACUUGACAUAUGAUUAUCCCGACUGUUGAUGAAAAUUUAAUUUGUGAUGUUGAUUUUAUGGAUUCUUCAGAUGCAGCGUUAAUCCUAGACGUAAAUUUGAAACAUGCUUUGUUAGUGUUUUUUCGAACAAUUUACAAUAGGUAAUGUAACCCUGGUAAUGAUUUGGCAAUCCUAGUUUUAGCACUAUAUGAUCCUAAAGUUAUGGUGUUGAUACGAGGAAUGAAUAAUAAUUUAAAAUGCGAUGAUUUUGUACAGUGUUUAUGUCUAUAUUUAACAGGAGAGCAUAAACUUUGAAACACAGAUGGAAUAUUGUUUUUAUAAUAGUCAAAAGCUAAAAAACAUUUUUUCAGUCUCAUCAGCUCAGUGGUAGAAUAUUAGACUCAAGGUAAAAUGGACUAGUAGAUUCCCAACAUUUUUUGAAGUGAAUAAUCCUUAAUGCCUUGUUUUAAAGAGAUUGAAUUCUGUUUUUUUUUUCAAGGAUGAUAAAACCCCAAAUGUGACAGCUGUAUAUACAUACGUAUGUGAGAUCACUGUGAAAGAUGGCAUGGUAAAUGGAGCACUAUGUAGGAUAGGUCACAUAAUAUCUGAUUUUGGCCAGCAUACCAGUAACUGAAAGAAAUUACUACCAAAACUUUAAACAAAGAAAUCUGUCAACACAAACAGAAAACAGAACAAGUGAUGAUGGAGAGAUAGUGAUUUUCAACACAGUCAACAACUAGCAUGGAAUAAUCAACCAACAAGCUAAUAACAGACUCAAUCAUUGUUAUGUAGUUACUCUUGAAGAGAGUUAGCUACCUUAAGGGAAGUAAUUUUCGCGGUUUUCGCGGAUUUUUUACCAUUUCCGCGAAAAUAAAAUCCCGCGAAAAGUCUGGGAAGGCCUGAUCCGCGAAAAUAAGUUCCCGCGAACUACGUAGAGAACUUCCAACCGCGAAAAUAAAUUCCUGCGAAAUUUUUCAAAAAAAAUCGAAUUCCUAAUUUUUUAAUAUAGAUAGCGAGUUGGAAUACGAAGAUGAUGACGGAAAUAUUUUUAGCAUUCUACAAGAUGACUUCGACAAUGAUGAAUAAUUGUAAUUAAGAAAUUGUUAAAAACGUUUUUCCAAGAUAAAAAACCUUUUAAAAUUCAUAAAUUUUCUUCGAUUCCUUCUUUAGAAAUGUAUACCUAAACUUCGCAUUCCCAGUGUUCGAUUAUACAGAAGUUUUAAAGUGAAAAACACAUAUUUCCUGAUUUUACAUAUCCGCGAAAUUCUUUUAAAGGUUCAACCGCGAAAAUUAAUUCCCGCGAAAUUUUUCAAACUCUUUCAACCGCGAAAAUUAAUUCCCGCGAAAUUUCCUUUGCUGAGAGAUCCACGAAAAUUAAUUCCCUUUUUUUCCGCGAAAUUCAAGGAAGGGCCGUGUCCGCGAAAAUUAGUUCCCGCGAAUAUUAAUUCCUUAAGGUAUAUAAUAUCGCUAACAAUUUUGAAUAUGGAAUCUUUGGCAGAAAAACACUAUCUAUAGCUAACUAGCUAACUAAGUUUUGUAGGCUUUCGAAAUUUUUCAUAUCUCUGACACGUUAUCUUCACCCUGGCCCUUUUUUCUAGCUAGCUAUAAUAUAACCCAGUUAAAAAAGCUUAUAUCCUUAGCUAUGCUUCGAACAAAUUAAUUUUAGCUUAGCUUUCUGGACAGAAAAUUAUUAAAAGGUUAUAAAAAAUUAUCAAGAAGUCAUAUUUAUCAAUAAGAAUUAGGCUUUACCCUUAUAAAUGAUUGAAUGAUAAAAAAGUUGCUGUGAUUUCUUCGAGAAUUUGCCACUGUUUACCUUAAGUAAUGGCUACUCCUGAAACCGAAAAACGGUCGACAAGUGUGGUGGCGCUAAUUGAAUUUUUAACGAAAUUGGCGUUUCUACAUUCGCUCCAUAGUGCAUAAAACAACAAAACAUGAAAUUCAACAAAACCAGUCGUUUUGAAAGUUUUAACUGUCAAGGUCUUCUUGAUUUAACAAAAACAGAAACGACAUGUGAAGAUUUUAUCAGAUACAAACUAACCACUCUCGCAGUACAAGAAACUUAUAUAAAAGGAUCCGGUAUGAUAGCGCUUAAAUCAGUUAAAAAGAAACUACAUCUUUUUUAUUCUGGUAGCAAAGAUAAAUCCAGCAGAAGUGUAGCUGUAAUCGUGGAGGAUGGACAUAAAGCCGACUUUAAACCAAUAUCAGAUUGAGUAUGUUUCCUAACAAUUGCCGUCAAAAAUGACUACAAGCUACAUAUCAUCAGCGCUUAUGCUCCUACAAUGAAAACAACUAAACAAAACCCAGAAGAAACAAAUAAAUUCUAUAACAGUCUCGCAUCUGUAUUAAAAUUACCACAACCCAAAGAUAUAGUGAUAAUCGGAGGUGACUUUAAUGCCAAAACAAAACUGUCAGACAAUCAUUUACAAAACGUAUACAACAAAACAGUUGGCAAAUACUCAAUCGGAUCGAUAAAUGAAAACGGUCAAUUACUCCUUGAAUUCGCAAAAAUGAACCAGGUAAAAACUAUCUAAGACUUUUUAUAAACAUAAACCUUCUCACCUUACAACCUGGGAAAGUCCAGAAAGAACAAAAGAUCACAUCGACGCGAAAACCAACACGAUAGGACAAAUCCAUACAGGAAUCAAAUUGACUUUAUAUUAGUGAAAGAAAAUCUAAGCAUUACAACUUAUAACUCCAGAUCCUACAACGAAAUGAAAACGAAAUCAGAUCACAAAAUUGUAAUAACCGACAUAAGAGUAAAAUUAAGACUUAACAAGAAAUUUGUACCAAAAAGCAGAAUCAACAUAAAAAACAUCAAUAACUAAGAACUUAGAACACAAUAUGAAAACAAACUUAAACAACAUAUAAAUGCCAUACCUGAACAAAACACAAAUCAGGAAAGAUGGAGUAUCAUUGUAGAAACGAUCAAAGAAACAGCAACAGAGGUGAUAGGAGAAGUAGAAAAAUAAAAAAGAUAAUACAAUCCCGAAAUGCAAAGAUUAUCAGUUAGACAAAAGAAAUUGCACAUAGAUCGAAACUCCACAAACGAUAACAACUAAAAGAAAGGCAUUACGAAAAGAAAGAAAUGUAAUACUGACGAGAAAGCGUAACAUCAUAAAAUAUGUACAAAAGGAAAAGUUAGCCAGCACACUGAAAGAUCUAGAGAAUACACCCAUUGACUCAAGAAAAAUUAUAAAGCAGUUAAAGGACUUAAAAGACCAACACCAAAACAAUCCUUACUCAUACAAACUGAAUAAGGGCUAACUUCCAAUGAAAAGCAACAAGCAGAAAUUAUAUCAAAGUAUUUCAAAAAUCAGUUCUAUAAAAAUGCAGAACCGCUUCCAAUUAUUAGGCCAGCGAAAAUGAUAUUCCUUUCACAACAGAAGAAAUAAGGAAAGCUACAAGUAAAAUAUAUUAUGUGCAUUACAAAAACCUGGUAAACCGAAAGGUCCACCUCAAAAUUUGAGACCAAUCAUCCUUCUUUCAGUUAUACGAAAAAUAAUUGCCAUAUGUUUAACCGAAAGAAUUGGUAUGAAACUAGAUGAUACAUCCUACCUAGCCAAGCAGCAUACCGUAAAGGCAGAAGUACAACUGAACAUGUCUUUGCAGCUAAACUAGUGGUAGAUCGAACAAUUACAUCGAAAUCCGAAAGCGAGCACAUAGUCAUGCAUGAUAUGAGCAAAGCUUUUGAUUCAAUCGACAGAAAAUCUUUGAUCACUGAUUUACAAAUGAUACUUCAACCAGACGAACUUCAUCUUGUCUAUAAACUUAUCCAAGUGGAAUUAGCAGCAAAAAUCGGAAAACAUACCACUACAUUCUUUAACAGACACCGGAGCCCCUCAAGGUGAUUGUAUGUCAACGAAUGAGUUUACUUUCUACUUAGCCAAAACCUUGGAAAACAGACAGGAAGAUCAUUACUAUUGUAAAUCAAGUAAUGCAGUACGAUACCACCUUCAAGAACUACACUACCGUAAGACCAGACAAACGUCACAUUUAUAUAAAUCUUGAAUAUGCUGAGGACAUAAGUAUGAUAACAUCUAAUCCACUCGAAACUGAGAAGAUGAAACAAGAACUACCAGCUAAACCUAAAAGCAGAAAUCUAAUUAUGAAUGCCGAAAAAACAGAAGAAUAUUACGUCAGUAGAUCGAGCUAUAACUGGAAAAAAUGCAAAUUAUUAGGCAGUUUUUUAGACACGAACGAAGAUAUAACCAGACGUAAAGGUCUAGCAAUUUAUUCAAUAAACAAAAUUAAGGAUAUCCUAACAAAUAAGAAAGUAACGAUAAAAAUGAAAAUGAAAACAUUUGAUACCUACGUCACGCCAAUAUUCCUCUACAAUGCAGAAAUAUGGACACUCAAUAAGAAAAAAGAGCUUGAGAUUGAUGUAUUUCAACGCAAACUUGUACGAACGAAUGUGUUGAAUGUAAAAUGUCCGGAAACAAUUACAAACGAUAAAUUGUAUCGAGAAACAGGAAUAAAACAGACAGUAGAGUUAAGUAUUUAAAAACAGAAGAAUGAGAUAGUUUGGACAUGUUAUAAGGCUACCGGAUAACACACCUGUCGAAAUAGUCCUUGACUAUGCUGAAGAACAGUAUGAAAGACCACGUGGAAGACCUAUUUCGACAUGGCUUUUCAUGAUGAAGAAACAACUCAGGGAAGAGCAUGGCCUCUCUUGAAAAGAGGGCAUGCACAUUGGCUAUGGACCGAGACGUAUGGCAGAAAUAUAUAUAAAUAAAAAAAAUUAUAUGCACGCAUUAUGUAAAUUUAUUUUACGGAAUAAUGCUUUAUAAUGAUUACCUUAACGGCUUUAAAAUUUAUACUUGUAAACACCAUACUCAAGCAUGCCAGAUAUCAUCUCAACGGAUGCAUAUAAGACACAUUCCCGUGUCUAUAGUUUUUAGACACAUAAAAUAGUGGACACCGAUUUCACAGCACAAUCAAGGCAGAUAAACAUGCAUCUGAUGAAUAUGAAAGGUCGAGGUUGAAAAGUAUAUUACCACCAUUAGUAUUUUAGCCUUUAGAAAAAAGCUCCUUGGUAAUCACUCUGUUGAAUGUCAGAUCUUUAUCGAGACAUGCUAUUGACAUUCAGCACGAUGAGGAAUUGAGAGAAUCGGACAUAUUAUGUCUAACUGAAAUCCAAUUGUUACCUGACCAUGACAUGACAGAAAUAUCAGGUCAACUUCCUAUGUUUGAUGUUACUCCUAAUUCUGAUGUAGACAAAUUUAAAAGUAUUGCAGUGUGCUACAGAGAUUGUUUUCCUUUUAUUUACCGAUAAUCCUGGUUUCUCUUUAGUACAAGUUAGGAAACGUUCGUUUGCAGAGGAACUUAUUUCUAUAGGAUUUUUUACCGGUCAAAUUUUUCAUCUUUAUCAUCUUUUUGUGAUGACCUGUGUGAGCGUUUGAAUGCACAGGAUUUUCAUAUUUUGUUAGGAGAUUUUAAUGUUGAUUAUUUCAAUCCAGGCUCAUAUCGACUUGCAGAAGUAUUAAGUAACUAUACUAUGGUUGUGCAAGUGCCAACUCAUAUUGACGGUUCUCUUCUUGAUCAUCUUUAUAUUAAUAAUAAUGUAUUUGACCAUGCAGAAAUUGAAACUGUAAUAAAAUGUGAAGAUCAGGCCGUAAAGAUCAGGCUGACCUGUUGAUAAAUAUGACAAAGAGAAGCAAAUUAUAAAAAUGACCAUGUGUAUUUAUCAGCAAAGAAAGAAAUUAGCAAUUAGCGAAGAAAAUGGAAUAAUUUAAAAGUAACUGCAAUAUAUAUGUUUGUGGAUAGCCACAAUGGUAAGAGCGGGAGGGGGGAGGGGGUUCUUUUCUUGUUUGCAUGUGUAUGUUUUCAUAGGAACUUUCAGACUCAGAGUGUGUUGUUUACAGUAAUAAAAUAAAACAAGAAGCCCAGGGGCUUGAAGAUUUUAAAAUUUGAAGUUUGAUCUUGAAAACGGAGAAAUAUGGGGUAAACAAAUCAUUGAGUAUUCUCAACUCUUAUUGUAACUAACCUGCAAUGUUAAAAUUGUACAGAAAGAAAGAAAUGACGUAACAUCAAAGAUGGCGCAUUAUAAGACGAUCUUCCUUAUGCUACACUGCACGAGCUUUAACUUUUGAUAGCAUAUAAACCUUAAAAUAAAGUAUUGUUCAUUGGAUAAUAAAACAAUCUGUUGCACUGUUAGGAUUCUUAUUGGCUUAAAACUCAUUUUAGCCUCGUUCUCAGAAAAAAAUCUUUAGCCUGGAUAAGUUUCGGGCGUCCAGCCUAGCUGCGCUGUCUCUAUCUAUCUCCCUAUCUCUCUAUCUCCUCAGGCGAUUUUAAAGAUUCCGCCUUCGCUGGCGGAAAUCUAUAAUAAGUUUAUUAAUUGUUUACAAAAGAGCAAAAGAGAGUUUGAAUUUCUUAUGCAAAACAUGUACUUGCUCAAUAUUUUGAAUUAUUUAUUUUUUUGUAUUUUAUCUGUAUCUUUUUUAUUUUUGUAUAUAUUUAUAUAAUAUAUAGAAGGAAUAUUUUUUCAUUAAUAUGAUUUUACAAUUUUUUUUAAAUAAAUUAUUGGAUGUACAAAUACAUCUUGCAUUUUAUGAGCUUCCAUUUUUUGUGCACUUCUAAAUCUUUUAACUCUAAGAGGCAGUAUUAUUGCGACUCUUUUCUUUCCUUCUAAAUUAAUUUAAUGCACUUUUUGCUUGUUAUUUCAUUUAUUUUAAGUCUAUUUUAAGAGCAGUCGUUAUGGAUCAUGGAUUGAAAGUAGAGUUGAAUUGCAGGUUAUACCAUGUAACAGAAUGAAGAAUCAACUGAGAAAUUGAUUUUGUAAUAUGGUCCUUCAAACCCUAUGCUGCUGUGUGGCGCAAGUGCAAUGUUAUUAAUAAUGAAUGAACCGUGUACAGACACUAUUGGGUACAUAAACUAUUUGUUCCGGAUAUAUAAUUUUCUCCCCUCAACAACAAAUAUCCUCUGUGAAAUCAAAGUGCUAUAUCAAAAGAAACCUGGACCAGCUAUUGCGGAGAAUAUUUGUUGUUUUCUCAACUCUACGCAUUUUUAUGUGAGAAUAAUUUUUACUUCAUUUAACAUGCACACACAUUUUCAAAACUACCCAGUCUAUCUUAAAGUUGAAUCAUGUACUUUCGCAUUUAAUUUGUGUUUAUAUAAUUGAUGCGGCAAGGUUUUCGACUAAGACUGAUGUGUGAUGUUUUCUGAGUCAUAAUGUCAACUUUUAGUUAUUUUUGUUAUUCUUCCACGUAGCUACAAUGUCUCUCGUUCUCUAUGCUUAGUUAUUGUAAAUAUUUUGGAAAUAUAUGCAUUUUUUGAAUUUAUUGAACAUAUUAUAUUUAUUUCUUUACAGUUUUUUGUAUUUUGUGAUAUAGUGCAAUGUUGUAAAAUUUGUAGAUGUACGUUGGGUGGUGAAAAGACUUCUGUUGAAAACAGCGAGGAACUGCAUGCUUAACCGGAGAUGGUGAUUAAUAUGAUGGCUAAAAGGAAUGUGCAUACCACAAGAUGUGAUAAACAAUAAAAUGAUUUCAUGUUUACGGUUUCAUUUCCAUAAUACAAUAUCAAAUUAGUACCAUUCACUGAACAAUUUUCUUCGUAUUUUAGAUCACAUUUGGGAAGAAGUACGCUAACUUUACGGUAACAAAAAGCACCAUGACAUAAUUAUUUAUUCAUCUUGUUAAGUUUAACACGAUGCUAAACAAGCAGAAUUCUUCCAUAUUGUAUUCCGUUCAUCAUUCGAAGAAAAAAAACAUGGAGCAUAUAUCCCUGCUCGCUUUACGUACCAUUAGUAUUCUACAACUGUUAAAUCCGCAUAUAACUUCGACCGGUAUAAUUUGAAGACCACCGUAUUAUAAAAAAAACAUCCAGUGCUUUCUCGUUACUCCAAGACCGAUAACACCACAGCGGUGUAGCGUGAAGCCUAUUAAAAUGUAUUACGAAUGAUUGUUUCACAGUCUGGAAUAAUCUACAUUAGUUUUCUGCCGCCUAACUGGACAGUAUUGACUCCCAACUUGCAACAUAUUUCACCAACUUCGAAGAACAAAACGCACAUUCUCAAGAACAUUGAUUGUACGCCAUUGUUGAUGCAUACAACUGCAUAAACUAAACCGCCACAAUGAAAUCUUUACGAAAACUCUAUUUUCUAAUCGUUAAUAAAACAACUGUAAUCAAUAAA
Long non-coding RNA from Hydractinia symbiolongicarpus, 13538 nucleotides. RefSeq lists it as uncharacterized. The transcript is spliced from 3 exons. The record is from RefSeq and is a predicted model, not a curated record. NCBI's taxonomy places the organism in Eukaryota, Metazoa, Cnidaria, Hydrozoa, Anthoathecata, Hydractiniidae.